Molecule: ribosomal RNA, 905 nt
Filed under: Chloromyxum fluviatile
Lineage: Eukaryota; Metazoa; Cnidaria; Myxozoa; Bivalvulida; Chloromyxidae
Description: bacterial SSU rRNA
Rfam family: Eukaryotic small subunit ribosomal RNA
Source: RNAcentral
UUUCUGCCCUAUCAACUUGUUGGUAAAGUAUUGGCUUACCAAGGUGAUAACGGGUAACGGGGAAUCAGGGUUCGAUUCCGGAGAGGGAGCCUGAGAAACGGCUACCACAUCCAAGGAAGGCAGUAGGCGCGCAAAUUACCCAAUCCAGACACUGGGAGGUGGUGACGAGAAAUACCAGGUCGUUCCCAAAAGGAUGCGACACUGGAAUGAACACAAUAUAAGACAUUUGUCGAGUAACAACUGGAGGGCAAGUCUGGUGCCAGCAGCCGCGGUAAUUCCAGCUCCAGUAGUGUAUCCUAAAGUUGCUGCGGUUAAAACGCUCGUAGUUGGAUUACGGGGUGGUUCUCUGCGGUCUGCUCUCUGUCAAGGCUGCGUCUGUUUGUGAAUAACUGCAGGCGUGGUUUGAGAGUGGACUCUGUUCAGAGGACUGCCACUUGUAUCGUGAGGAUGGUGGUUGGCCUUUACUGUGCUGCCCACUGUGUCUUGCGGAGUGUGCCUUGAAUAAAUCAGAGUGCUCAAAGCAGGCGUAUUGCUUGAAUGUUAAUAGCAUGGAACGAACAAUCGUGAUAUGUGUUGCGUACAGGUCCCCACAUUGGGCUUGCUCGGUGUGACUGUGCGUGAUGCUGCACCAACCACGAUGCGGACGUUGGUUUCCGUGAUCGGGUGAUGAUUAAGAGGGACAAUUGGGGGCAUUGGUAUUUAGCCGCGAGAGGUGAAAUUCUUGGACCGGCCAAGGACCGACAAAUGCGAAAGCAUUUGCCAAGAUUGUUCCCAUUAAUCAAGAACGAAAGUGAGAGGUUCGAAGACGAUCAGAUACCGUCCUAGUUCUCACCGUAAACUAUGCCAACCCGGGAUCAGUUGCGAUCGAUUUUACAUAAGAUCCAUGUUGGUCCCCCCGUGAAACC